UGAUAUAAUAGUCAUAGAAAAAAGAAAGGCGACUAAUAGUGAGAGUUGAAAGGCCCAACUGCUUGCUCCUACUUGCUUCCUAUUGCUUUGCAAGGAACAAAUUGAAGCGCUUGGCCUCUGUUUGUUUGCUGGCUCAAUGGCUUCUCCAAAAAUUUUGUGCCACAAUCGAAAGCGGUGCAUCGGUGCUGGUAGUUGACAGACUACAUGUCAGUGAACCGCUAAUUAAGCUAACCCAGGGCUUCCAUUUGUGCUCUGGAAAGCUUCUGUUUUGGAAUUCAUUUUCUACAUACUCCUGGCAGUUGCUCAUGAAUUCGUUUUCAAUCAUUUUCUCCUCUCUCGUAUGUACUUCAUUUGUUCCUUUUUCUUUAGUAAGGUUUUGGAGAGAGUGAUUCUUAAUUUCGUUGGUCCAAUCAAUGGAAGCAUGCCAGGUGUGAAGAGGAAGCCAGAGCUGAUUUUGAAACACAUCACAACCUGCCUGUGUUAAAAUCUCUAUCUCCUUUUGAGAAACAGCUGUCAACAGUUUAUACACAUGCAAUACACAAGAAAUUUCAGGUUGAGGUUUUGGGAACGGUUGCUUGCAGUCUGCGAAAGGAAUUUGAUGCUUUCUUCUUGCAACUCUUUCACUUGCUUCUCACAGGUUAUUUGAUGUCCAUGUGAAGGCUAUUGGUGGCAUUCAUACUGAUGAUCAUCGCUCAAAUGAAGAUGUUGCACUUGCCAUUGGAACAGUAACCUCCUGAAAUUGAUUAAUCAUUAUUCCUUUUAUGUGAUGUAACACAAAAGCUGUAGUAGUGAACAUUCUAUUUUCCAUGCUAUCUUCCUUUCUAAUUAGUAUUCUAUUUUCCGGCCAUGGGAGGUUUGAUGGUAGUUCUCGAUCGGUUCAGCGGAACAGCAUGGUGGCAGCGUUCCUUACGCGUGCGACACGAUUUUUUAUGAUUUGGAUCAGUGUUCUUCAGGCAUGCGUCUUGUCUUUAGUUUGUGGUGGAAAAGAAAAGUGUGGGUUGGUGAAAUGAAAAGUGAUUUGGGUUGAAAAGAAGGGUGUGGCUGGUUGAAAAGAGGAGUGCAGUAGCACCAUGGGUGUUUUUGCUUUGGGCUGUGUGGGUUGAUUUUGUGGGAUUUCAUGUAUUUUAUUUUUUAGUUAAGUCCUGAACUUUUUUUAUUUUCUUGAUUUGUCUUUUAUUUUUGUUUU
Camellia sinensis is the source of this 1186-nucleotide long non-coding RNA. RefSeq lists it as uncharacterized. The record is from RefSeq and is a predicted model, not a curated record. Lineage: Eukaryota; Viridiplantae; Streptophyta; Magnoliopsida; Ericales; Theaceae.